CUUAGUCGAUUCAGCAGAAUGCUAUGCUAUUCAAAUUAGUAUAUAAAAACACCAUAUCACAUAUAUUCAGGAGCUUAAACCAGCACUCAAAUGAUUAUGAAAUUGCAAAUAACAACUCUCAUAUCAGAAUCUUGAGCAUUAUACUUAUAUGGAAACUUCCUGACAGUAUAUUUAAGGCAGGGAAAUAUGGGAAACAACAUGCAUAGUUCUAAGUUAUUGCAGAAGUAUCAUUGAAAGUAGAAGAAGACAAAACACUAAAAACUCAAAAUAACUUCAGAUUCAAUCAAGUUUCCACUACAUCAUGCAUUCGUACAUUCAUUUGCCAUCCAUAGCUUGUAGGAAUACCUUGAAAAUGAAAGGAAACAAGGACAAGUGAGGAUUCAGUAAGCACAACAACAAUAGAUCAACAACCAGAUUUCAAUAGAAUAGUAAACCAGAAAGCCAAACAGCUUUAAAUUAAGCUCUUAAAUACCAAGAAUCAAACCAUUUUAACCCAGAAUGCAGAACUAUGAAUUUUUCAGUAAUUUUCAAGGAAUUCUAACUAAUGAAAGGAUUAGAAAUUUCAAACUUACUCAGAAUUGAGCAAUUCCCAGGCUUUUUAGUUUUCAAGUUUUUUUUAAUCUCUUCCUUUCUCUUUAAAAUCUGACUUGAAUGUUAAGUUAUGACGGCUUUAUAGGCAAG
Molecule: long non-coding RNA, 681 nt
Filed under: Nicotiana benthamiana
Lineage: Eukaryota; Viridiplantae; Streptophyta; Magnoliopsida; Solanales; Solanaceae
Description: long non-coding RNA (NBEN_LNC008212)
Source: RNAcentral